CUGCAAGCUCCGCCUCCCAGGUUUACGCCAUUCUCCUGCCUCAGCCUCCCAAGUAGCUGGGACUACAGGCGCCUGCCACCGCGCCCGGCUAAUUUUUUGUAUUUUUAGUAGAGACGGGGUUUCACCGUGUUAGCCAGGAUGGUUUCGAUCUCCUGACCUCGUGAUCCGCCCGCCUUGGCCUCCCAAAGUGCUGGGAUUACAGGCGUGAGCCACCGCGCCCGGCCCGUGAAACUUGCUUUCUUAAAAAAUAAUAAUAACUUGUUAUCUGAAGAAAAUUAAAAGAUUAUCUUUUAAGAGAGAUAAACAUUCUUACAAAAAACUAUAUUUUCCUCUAUCAUCUCUUUAAAAGAAAUGCAAACCAGUUCAUUAUCUUUGUUUUUUUGAGAGUCACACUCUAUUGCCCAGGCUGGAGUGCAGUGGCGCCAUCUCGGCUCACUGCAAUCUCUGCCUCCUGGGUUCAAGCAAUUCUUCUGCCUCAGCCUCCCAAGUAGCUGGGAUUACAGGCACAUGCCUCCAUGCCUGGCUAAUUUUUUAAUUUUUAGUAGAGGUGAGGUUUUGCCAUGUUGGCCAGGCUGGUCUGGAACUCCUGGCCUCAAGUGAUCUGCCCGCCUCAGCCUCCCAAAGUGCUGGGAUUACAGGUGUGAGCCACCACGCCCGGCCUAGUUCAUUAUCUUUAAUAAUGAACUAGACAAUAAACUAAUUGUUGUCUAAAAACUUCUGAAUACAUGAAGUACAAGUCUGAGCUGUCAAGUCAAAAAUGCCAUUUAGAUUUCACAUAUUAAACAGCUAUAGUAGGCCAGUCUUUAACCCUGGCAAACUUCCUU
Molecule: long non-coding RNA, 824 nt
Filed under: Homo sapiens (human)
Lineage: Eukaryota; Metazoa; Chordata; Mammalia; Primates; Hominidae
Description: HSALNT0012167
Source: RNAcentral